RNAcentral lists this ribosomal RNA (422 nucleotides) under uncultured bacterium. RNAcentral's name for it is "partial 16S ribosomal RNA". It matches the Rfam family "Bacterial small subunit ribosomal RNA", at positions 360 to 774 of the family's 1533-position model. The record is from RNAcentral.
AAUAUUGGACAAUGGGCGAAAGCCUGAUCCAGCCAUGCCGCGUGUGUGAAGAAUCUCUACGGAUUUUAAAGAACUUUAAGUUGGGAGGAAGGGCAGUAAGUUAAUACCUUGUUGCUUUGACGUUACUGCUAGAAUAAGCACCGGCUAACUUGUUGCCAGUAGCCGCGGUAAUACGAAGGGUGCAAGAGGUAAUCGGAAUUACUGGGCGUAAAGCGCGCGUAGGUGGUUUGUUAAGUUGGAAGUGAAAGCCCCGGGCUCAACCUGGGAACUGCUUUCAAGACUGGCAAGCUAGAGUAUGGCAGAGGGUGGUGGAAUUUCCUGUGUAGCGGUGAAAUGCGUAGAUAUAGGAAGGAACACCAGUGGCGAAGGCGACCACCUGGGCUAAUACUGACACUGAGGUGCGAAAGCGUGGGGAGCAAACA